UGGCCGGAAUAAUGUCAGCACAAUCAGCAAGAGCUCCGUUAUUUUUCAAAACUUUUGUAAAAAAAAUCUUGAAAUAUAUAUAAAAUCGCCAAAUUUUUCUUGGGUUAUACUGGUAUAGCCCCUUAAAGCUGCAAAUAUGUGAAAUUAAUCUACGAAGCUGACCGGUUACGUUUUCAGAUACUGCAGACGUUUUUUUUACAGUGAUUCGUGAUUGCAAGAAGGCAACGCAACAUACUGAAUUUUCACCGAAGGCUUACCGUAUUGCCACACUUUGAACUAAUGACUACUAAAUACUUUGAUAUUGUUAUCAAUUCCUAAAAAUUUAAAAGAAACUUUAUGUAUAGAGCGGUUAGGUUGGUU
Bactrocera latifrons is the source of this 360-nucleotide long non-coding RNA. RefSeq lists it as uncharacterized. The record is from RefSeq and is a predicted model, not a curated record. Lineage: Eukaryota; Metazoa; Arthropoda; Insecta; Diptera; Tephritidae. The transcript is spliced from 2 exons.